Molecule: ribosomal RNA, 503 nt
Filed under: Nannophya pygmaea
Lineage: Eukaryota; Metazoa; Arthropoda; Insecta; Odonata; Libellulidae
Description: partial 16S rRNA
Rfam family: Bacterial large subunit ribosomal RNA
Source: RNAcentral
GUCCUUUUGAAUUUAAUUUAAGGUCUGGCCUGCCCAGUGAUUAAUUUAACGGCCGCGGUAUACUGACCGUGCAAAGGUAGCAUAAUCAUUAGUCUUUUAAUAGAGGGCUGGAAUGAAAGGUUUAACGAGGAACUGACUGUCUCAUUUUAUUUGUAUUAAAAUUUAAUUUUUUAGUUAAAAAGCUAAAAUUUAAUUGGAAGACGAGAAGACCCUAUAGAUCUUUAUAUAGUCUAUUAAAUUUGUAACAUAUUAAUACAUUUUAUGAAAGCUGUAUUUUGUUGGGGUGACAAAAAUAUAAAACUAACUUUUUUAUCAAUUAACCAUUAAUUUAUGAAAAUUAGAUCCACUCUUAGUGAUUAUUAGACUAAGUUACCUUAGGGAUAACAGCGUAAUCCUCUUCCAGAGUUCAUAUUUACAAGGGGGCUUGCGACCUCGAUGUUGGAUUAAGAUAAUAAUUAGGUGUAGUCGCUUAAUAUAUAGGUCUGUUCGACCUUUAAAUUCUU